This 253-nucleotide ribosomal RNA is filed under the name uncultured bacterium. Its description in RNAcentral is "partial 16S ribosomal RNA". It matches the Rfam family "Bacterial small subunit ribosomal RNA", at positions 524 to 776 of the family's 1533-position model. The record is from RNAcentral.
UACGUAGGGUGCAAGCGUUAAUCGGAAUUACUGGGCGUAAAGCGUGCGUAGGCGGUUGCGCAAGACAGGUGUGAAAUCCCCGGGCUUAACCUGGGAAUUGCACUUGUGACUGCAUCGCUGGAGUGCGGCAGAGGGGGAUGGAAUUCCGCGUGUAGCAGUGAAAUGCGUAGAUAUGCGGAGGAACACCGAUGGCGAAGGCAAUCCCCUGGGCCUGCACUGACGCUCAUGCACGAAAGCGUGGGGAGCAAACAGG